RNAcentral lists this transfer-messenger RNA (364 nucleotides) under Atopobiaceae. RNAcentral's name for it is "RUG440 sp017652285 Standard tmRNA". It matches the Rfam family "transfer-messenger RNA". From Rfam's summary of the family: Bacterial tmRNA, also known as 10Sa RNA or SsrA, is named for its dual tRNA and mRNA-like properties. Its role is to liberate the mRNA from a stalled ribosome. RNAcentral also lists the same sequence under 1 other name. Lineage: Bacteria; Bacillati; Actinomycetota; Coriobacteriia; Coriobacteriales. The record is from RNAcentral.
GGGGGCGACUGGUUUCGACAUGGUGGGUCUGAGGUGAGGAGCAGGUCGUGGUCUCCUUUCCACGUUAAACAGGGGUACUGUCAAAUUAAUUGGCAAAAAGAAUCUUUCUGGGCAGUAUGCCCUCGCCGCAUAACAUAAGUCGGCGCGUCAAUCCCAGGUGCUUUCCCGCCCUGGGUGCGAUGUCAUCUUAGGGAAAUGCUCGCGCGCACGUUGUCGGAAUGGCGCGCGCUAAGAUUGAACCGGCUCGGGACGGCAACGCGCGUCGCUGUGCCCAGCUGGCCUUAAAGCAGAACAGCGAAUAAGCUUGUAGAGCCUGAGCAGGGAACCAGUAUUGACCGGAGUUCGAUUCUCCGCGCCUCCACCA